GCGGGAAUAGUCCAGUGGUUAAGAUUCUCGUUUUGGGUUUACUGAAUACGAGAGAUCCCAGGUUCGAAUCCUGGUUUCCGCC
Filobasidium floriforme is the source of this 82-nucleotide non-coding RNA. NCBI's taxonomy places the organism in Eukaryota, Fungi, Basidiomycota, Tremellomycetes, Filobasidiales, Filobasidiaceae. The record is from the annotation of a RefSeq genome assembly.